AGAUGGCGACCGGCGCACGGGUGAGUAACACGUAUCCAACCUGCCGAUAACUCGGGGAUAGCCUUUCGAAAGAAAGAUUAAUACCCGAUGGUAUAAUCAGACCGCAUGGUCUCGUUAUUAAAGAAUUUCGGUUAUCGAUGGGGAUGCGUUCCAUUAGGCAGUUGGUGAGGUAACGGCUCACCAAACCUUCGAUGGAUAGGGGUUCUGAGAGGAAGGUCCCCCACAUUGGAACUGAGACACGGUCCAA
Molecule: ribosomal RNA, 247 nt
Filed under: uncultured bacterium
Lineage: Bacteria
Description: partial 16S ribosomal RNA
Rfam family: Bacterial small subunit ribosomal RNA
Source: RNAcentral